This 301-nucleotide ribosomal RNA is filed under the name uncultured bacterium. RNAcentral describes it as "partial 16S ribosomal RNA". It matches the Rfam family "Bacterial small subunit ribosomal RNA", at positions 509 to 807 of the family's 1533-position model. The record is from RNAcentral.
CAGCAGCCGCGGUAAUACGAAGGGGGCUAGCGUUGCUCGGAAUGACUGGGCGUAAAGGGCGCGUAGGCGGCGGCCAAAGUCAGGCGUGAAAUUCCCGGGCUCAACCUGGGGGCUGCGCUUGAUACUUGGUUGCUUGAGUGGGGAAGAGGGUCGUGGAAUUCCCAGUGUAGAGGUGAAAUUCGUAGAUAUUGGGAAGAACACCGGUGGCGAAGGCGGCGACCUGGUCCAUUACUGACGCUGAGGCGCGAAAGCGUGGGGAGCAAACAGGAUUAGAUACCCCUGUAGUCCCUGUCUCUUAUAC